This 78-nucleotide transfer RNA is filed under the name Sphingobium yanoikuyae. RNAcentral describes it as "tRNA-Thr". Lineage: Bacteria; Pseudomonadati; Pseudomonadota; Alphaproteobacteria; Sphingomonadales; Sphingobiaceae. The record is from RNAcentral.
CGGUCGGUGGCGCAGCGGGGGGACUUCCCGCUGGUGGCGCGAGGGACAGCGGCGCGGAUCGUCACCGAUCCGGCCGAC